AGACUUUCGGAUUAUUGGGUUUAAGGGAGCGUAGGCCGCCCUAUUAAGUCUGUUGUGAAAUGUGCUGCUCAACCUCUAACCUGCCCCGCAAACUGGUGGCUUGAGUGUGCGAAAGGUGGGCGGAAUUCCUCGUGUAGCGGUGAAAUGCUUAGAUAUGACGAAGAACUCCGAUUGCGAAGGCAGCUUCUGGGAGCACAACUGACGCUGAAGCUCGAAAGUGCGGGUAUCAAACAGGAUUAGAUACCCUGGUAGUCCGCACCGUAAACGAUGGAUGCCCGUUGUGGGGAUGUUUAAUGCUGGUGCCCAAGCUAAAGCUUUAAGUAUCCCCCCGGGGGAGUACGCCGGCAAGGGUGAAACUCAAGAAAAUUUGCGGGGG
This 376-nucleotide ribosomal RNA is filed under the name uncultured bacterium. RNAcentral's name for it is "bacterial SSU rRNA". It matches the Rfam family "Bacterial small subunit ribosomal RNA", at positions 539 to 919 of the family's 1533-position model. The record is from RNAcentral.